CGCACGGGUGAGUAACACGUAUGCAACCUGCCUGCCACAGCCGGAUAAUCGGGAGAAAUCCCGUCUAAUACGGCAUAAUGCAUCGACGGGACAUCCUGUUGGUGCCAAAGGUUGAUUCCGGUGGCGGAUGGGCAUGCGUCGCAUUAGUUAGUUGGCGGUGUAACGGACCACCAAGACGACGAUGCGUAGGGGUUCUGAGAGGAAGGUCCCCCACACUGGUACUGAGACACGGACCAGACUCCUACGGAAGGCAGCAG
This 257-nucleotide ribosomal RNA is filed under the name uncultured bacterium. RNAcentral's name for it is "partial 16S ribosomal RNA". It matches the Rfam family "Bacterial small subunit ribosomal RNA", at positions 99 to 354 of the family's 1533-position model. The record is from RNAcentral.